Molecule: non-coding RNA, 225 nt
Organism: Camelina sativa (false flax)
Lineage: Eukaryota; Viridiplantae; Streptophyta; Magnoliopsida; Brassicales; Brassicaceae
Source: RefSeq, a predicted model, not a curated record
CACACACUAGAUUUAUUAGACUCGUUUCGUCUUUAUUUUUUACUCGGCGAGCUUCGUGAAGAAGAAACUGGUGAUUUCAUCGCCUUCGAUCACUCCCUGAUUCACAUUGCCUUUCUUGUAGCCGCUGAGAUUGUAACCCGAAAAGCAAAUCAAAAUGGUCGUGCUUGCUGCUGCCAUUGUGGUUAAGUCUGGGAAAGGUGAAUUAUUAUUUCUAUCUUUUACAUU